RNAcentral lists this small RNA (106 nucleotides) under Marmota monax (woodchuck). The record is from RNAcentral. Lineage: Eukaryota; Metazoa; Chordata; Mammalia; Rodentia; Sciuridae.
GCCAGGUGUGGUGACACAUGCCUGUAAUCCCAGCUACUUAGGGAGGCAGAGGCAAGAGGAUCACAAGUUUGAGUGGUGUUGGCAACUUAGCCAGACCCUGUCUCAA